This 497-nucleotide ribosomal RNA is filed under the name uncultured bacterium. RNAcentral describes it as "partial 16S ribosomal RNA". It matches the Rfam family "Bacterial small subunit ribosomal RNA", at positions 28 to 507 of the family's 1533-position model. The record is from RNAcentral.
GACGAACGCUGGCGGCGUGCCUAAUACAUGCAAGUUGAGCGCUGAAGGUUGGUACUUGUACCAACUGGAUGAGCAGCGAACGGGUGAGUAACGCGUGGGGAAUCUGCCUUUGAGCGGGGGGCAACAUUUGGAAACGAAUGCUAAUACCGCAUAAAAACUUUAAACACAAGUUUUAAGUUUGAAAGAUGCAAUUGCAUCACUCAAAGAUGAUCCCGCGUUGUAUUAGCUAGUUGGUGAGGUAAAGGCUCACCAAGGCGAUGAUACAUAGCCGACCUGAGAGGGUGAUCGGCCACAUUGGGACUGAGACACGGCCCAAACUCCUACGGGAGGCAGCAGUAGGGAAUCUUCGGCAAUGGACGAAAGUCUGACCGAGCAACGCCGCGUGAGUGAAGAAGGUUGUCGGAUCGUAAAACUCUGUUGGUAGAGAAGAACGUUGGUGAGAGUGGAAAGCUCAUCAAGUGACGGUAACUACCCAGAAAGGGACGGCUAACUACGUG